AACGAACGCUGGCGGCAUGCCUAACACAUGCAAGUCGAACGAGACCUUCGGGUCUAGUGGCGCACGGGUGCGUAACGCGUGGGAACCUGCCCUUAGGUUCGGAAUAACUCCCCGAAAGGGGUGCUCAUACCGGAUAAUGUCUUCGGACCAAAGAUUUAUCGCCUUUGGAUGGGCCCGCGUUGGAUUAGCUAGUUGGUAGGGUAAAAGCCUACCAAGGCGACGAUCCAUAGCUGGUCUGAUAGGAUGAUCAGCCACACUGGGACUGAGACACGGCCCAGACUCCUACGGGAGGGAGCAGUGGGGAAUAUUGGACAAUGGGCGAAAGUCUGAUACAGCAAUGCCGCGUGAGUGAUGAAGGCCUUAGGGUUGUAAAGCUCUUUUACCCGGGAUGAUAAUGACAGUACCGGGAGAAUAAGCUCCGGCUAACUCCGUG
Molecule: ribosomal RNA, 433 nt
Filed under: uncultured bacterium
Lineage: Bacteria
Description: partial 16S ribosomal RNA
Rfam family: Bacterial small subunit ribosomal RNA
Source: RNAcentral